CUACGGGGAUGAUUUUAGGAAUGGAACUCUCUCUCUCUGAUGGAUGAGUGGAGAAAAUGUAAGAAUUCUGAGUAGC
This is a small nucleolar RNA of Diceros bicornis minor, 76 nucleotides long. RefSeq annotates it as small nucleolar RNA SNORD26. The transcript has a single exon. The record is from RefSeq and is a predicted model, not a curated record. NCBI's taxonomy places the organism in Eukaryota, Metazoa, Chordata, Mammalia, Perissodactyla, Rhinocerotidae.